UAACUUUGCGUCGCUUUUGGUUCCUGAUCUCGCUGGUCAGGAUUAAAAGGGAAUAUGGUGUAAAUCCAUAACUGUCCCGCAGCUGUAAGCUCCUUAACGGAAUCCAUAUCCAGCCACUCAUGUUAAAAACACGGGGAAGGCAUGAAUCUCCGGGAGUAAGUCAGAAGACCUGCCUCUAGCCUUAUAAUUUC
RNAcentral lists this non-coding RNA (191 nucleotides) under Pedobacter cryoconitis. Lineage: Bacteria; Pseudomonadati; Bacteroidota; Sphingobacteriia; Sphingobacteriales; Sphingobacteriaceae. The record is from RNAcentral.